Molecule: ribosomal RNA, 253 nt
Filed under: uncultured bacterium
Lineage: Bacteria
Description: partial 16S ribosomal RNA
Rfam family: Bacterial small subunit ribosomal RNA
Source: RNAcentral
UACGUAGGCAGCGAGCGUUGUUCGGAGUUACUGGGCGUAAAGCGUGCGUAGGCGGUUUUCUAAGUUUGGUGUGAAAUCUCCCGGCUUAACUGGGAGGGUGCGCCGAAAACUGGAAGGCUUGAGUAUGGGAGAGGUAAGCGGAAUUCCUGGUGUAGCGGUGAAAUGCGUAGAUAUCAGGAGGAACACCUGCGGUGUAGACGGCUUACUGGACCAUAACUGACGCUGAGGCACGAAAGCGUGGGUAGCAAACAGG